UGGGGUGUAGCUCAGUGGUACAGCACAUGCUUAGUAUGCAGGAGGCUCUGGGUUUCAUCCCCAGCACUGCAA
Molecule: transfer RNA, 72 nt
Filed under: Cavia porcellus (domestic guinea pig)
Lineage: Eukaryota; Metazoa; Chordata; Mammalia; Rodentia; Caviidae
Rfam family: tRNA
About the family: Transfer RNA (tRNA) molecules are approximately 80 nucleotides in length.
Source: Rfam by way of RNAcentral